ACCGGGUCCUGGAAAGGGAAACCCGAAAACCCAAAAGGUAACCCAAAUGCAAAAUAGAAGCUCUCUGAAAAGCCCCAAACUCUGCAAAACCCCCCUCACACACACGAACUCUCCCCGUCUCUCAUUCACAUGCUUCUCCGAUCUCGCCCGUGAAAAUUGAGUGAUAUAAUCAUGCCAGACGUGCAUACUCUUGUGAAUGAUUUCAUUAUCAAGCUGAAAAAGCGUAAAAUCGAGGGCUCGCAGGCUACGGCGAAGCAGACAGCUGAGUUACUUCGCUCGGUGAUUUCGUCGCAGCGUGUGCCCUACACGAAUCAAGCCGGAGCCUUGAUUGAUGCUGUAAAGGCUGUUGGGGAGCAGCUGAUUGCUGCAAAUCCUGUGGAGCUUGCUGUGGGUAAUAUUGUGAGGCGGGUUUUGCACAUUAUCAGGGAGGAGGAUCUUUCUCUCACCACAGCUGCAAUGGCUGGGUUGAACUUGUCAGCUGUCAGUGAUGAUGAAGAUGAUGUUGACCGCGACAACUAUCCUGUUCUAUCUGCUGCUGUAGUUGCAGCAGCUGCAAGAAGCACACUGCGUCCGCCUUCCUUGCAAACCCUUCUUGAAGACAUGCCUGAUGCAGCAGCUAUCCCUCACACUUCUUCAUCAGGGGGUGAUUCUGAAGGAAAAAGCAAAUCUGCUGAUAAAAGUUCUAGAAGCCGGAAGCUGAAGCAUGAUGUCAUUGAAGCAGUCAAUGAACUUAUUCAAGAUAUUGGCACUUGCCAUGAACAGAUUGCUGAGCAAGCAGUAGAGCACAUUCACCAUAAUGAGGUUAUAUUAACUCUAGGCAGUUCAAAAACAGUACUGGAAUUCCUUUUUGCUGCAAAGGAGAAAAAAAGAUCAUUUCGGGUAUUUGUUGCAGAGGGAGCUCCAAGGUAUCAGGGGCAUCUUCUUGCAAAAGAAUUGGUUGCAAGAGGUUUACAAACCACGCUGAUCACUGAUUCUGCAAUUUUUGCUAUGAUAUCUCGAGUGAACAUGGUUAUAGUUGGUGCUCAUGCUGUCAUGGCCAAUGGUGGUGUUAUAGCACCUGUUGGGUUGAAUAUGGUUGCACUUGCAGCCCAAAGGCAUGCCGUCCCUUUUGUUGUACUUGCUGGCAGUCACAAGUUGUGCCCUCUGUAUCCACACAACCCUGAAGUCUUGCUGAAUGAGUUAAGAUCUCCUUCUGAGCUGCUGGAUUUUGGAGAAUUCUCAGAUUGCAUGGAUUUUCGAAGUGGCACUGGUUCCCCACUUCUGCAUGUUGUCAAUCCUACAUUUGAUUUUGUGCCACCAAAGCUUGUUAGUCUAUUUAUCACUGAUACUGGAGGCCAUAAUCCAUCAUACAUGUACCGGCUCAUCGCAGAUUAUUACUCUGCUGAUGAUUUGGUUGUCCAACGAAGACCUGCUACAGGGAGCUGAGUUUAGCUCAUGCUUUUAUAUCAUAUAUUGGGGAGUACAGAAAGCUAUAAUGGUAAUGAUUGGAUGAAGAGAUGAUGAAAUCAAUUGUUAAGUCUUAUGGAACCAUGAAGACCAUUGUUACUGCUGGUAGUGUGUCAUGCAGAGCGGAGUAUUUUGAGCUGUGAACUUUGGAUGGUACUGAUAGAAGCAAAGAGCGCCAAUUUUGUAUUGUUGCUGGUAUCUCUUCUUUCUGUUAAUGGAUGCGUGGAAAUUUUAGUAGAAAUACCGUUGGGUAUUUGGCUUUUUGCUGUUGAAACCAUUUUCAGGUUUCCAACUAUCUGAGGAUUGUGUUGUUUGCACCAUGGGAAUUUGAUCUUUUUGUGAAACCUUAUUGUACUGCAAAGACACACCAGGAAGUUUCUCUAACUUGUCAUGUUAUGUUUGCAUAAGUC
Rosa rugosa (rugosa rose) is the source of this 1856-nucleotide RNA transcript. RefSeq lists it as uncharacterized. The transcript has 12 exons. Lineage: Eukaryota; Viridiplantae; Streptophyta; Magnoliopsida; Rosales; Rosaceae. The record is from RefSeq and is a predicted model, not a curated record.